UACAGAGACUGCGAGCGUUAUUCGGAUUCACUGGGCGUAAAGGGUGCGCAGGCGGUCGAUCAAGUCGAGUGUGAAAGCCCCCGGCUCAACUGGGGAGGGUCAUUCGAUACUGAUCGACUCGAAGGCAGGAGAGGGUAGUGGAAUUCCCGGUGUAGUGGUGAAAUGCGUAGAUAUCGGGAGGAACACCAGUGGCGAAGGCGACUACCUGGCCUGUUCUUGACGCUGAGGCGCGAAAGCUAGGGGAGCAAACGGG
This 253-nucleotide ribosomal RNA is filed under the name uncultured bacterium. RNAcentral describes it as "partial 16S ribosomal RNA". It matches the Rfam family "Bacterial small subunit ribosomal RNA", at positions 524 to 776 of the family's 1533-position model. The record is from RNAcentral.